AUCUGGAUAGCUCAGUGGUUUAGAGCAGUUGCCCGAAAAGCGAAAGACUCGAGUUCGAUUCUCGAUCCAGGCA
This 73-nucleotide transfer RNA is filed under the name Camponotus floridanus (Florida carpenter ant). It matches the Rfam family "tRNA". Rfam says of the family: Transfer RNA (tRNA) molecules are approximately 80 nucleotides in length. Their secondary structure includes four short double-helical elements and three loops (D, anti-codon, and T loops). The record is from Rfam by way of RNAcentral. Lineage: Eukaryota; Metazoa; Arthropoda; Insecta; Hymenoptera; Formicidae.